GUGGCUGUAGCUCAGCGGGUAGAGCGCCCCUUUGCCGAAGCGGGAGAUCGUGAGUUCAAAUCUUACCAGUCACA
RNAcentral lists this transfer RNA (74 nucleotides) under Actinomycetota bacterium. RNAcentral describes it as "Actinobacteria bacterium tRNA-Gly". It matches the Rfam family "tRNA". From Rfam's summary of the family: Transfer RNA (tRNA) molecules are approximately 80 nucleotides in length. Their secondary structure includes four short double-helical elements and three loops (D, anti-codon, and T loops). Further hydrogen bonds mediate the characteristic L-shaped molecular structure. tRNAs have two regions of fundamental functional importance: the anti-codon, which is responsible for specific mRNA codon recognition, and the 3' end, to which the tRNAs corresponding amino acid is attached (by aminoacyl-tRNA synthetases). tRNAs cope with the degeneracy of the genetic code in two manners: having more than one tRNA (with a specific anti-codon) for a particular amino acid; and 'wobble' base-pairing, i.e. permitting non-standard base-pairing at the 3rd anti-codon position. Lineage: Bacteria; Bacillati; Actinomycetota. The record is from RNAcentral.